GCAGGAUCAUAAAUAAAAAAGAUGAGAUUAUUAUAAUGAAAGUGUAUGCUGACAUUGUAAUAAUCUUGUCUAUGUUCUAAAUACAAAAUACCUUCACGAGGUUUAGAAUGAGUGAUAUAAGGAAGUUAUAUUAGCUAAAUUAAUUUGUAAAAUAGGGUUGGUUGAUGUCAGAUAGUUCGUGUUGUUGAUUCUAUUAAAGUGUAAAGAGUUAUAUUGAGUAUAUAUUAUAAAUAAAGACAUAGAUUAUUUUUAACGAUUAGAAGCAAGAAUCUUUUCUCAUAACAACGCACUUAUUUCAACA
Molecule: unclassified non-coding RNA, 301 nt
Filed under: Nosema bombycis
Lineage: Eukaryota; Fungi; Microsporidia; Nosematidae
Description: intergenic spacer
Source: RNAcentral